UGCAGGUACCCGUGCGAAUAAGGACCGGCUAAUUCCGUGCCAGCAGCCGCGGUAAUACGGAAGGUCCGAGCGUUAUCCGGAUUUAUUGGGUUUAAAGGGAGCGCAGGCGGAGAUGCAAGCCAGCCGUAAAAUCGUUGAGCUCAACUCAAUCUCGCGGUUGGAACUGCAUCCCUUGAGUGCACCAGAGGGCGGUGGAAUUCGUGGUGUAGCGGUGAAAUGCAUAGAUAUCACGAAGAACUCCGAUUGCGAAGGCAGUCGCCUGGGGUGUUACUGACGCUCAUGCUCGAAGGUGCGGGUAUCAAACAGGAUUAGAUACCCUG
Molecule: ribosomal RNA, 320 nt
Filed under: uncultured bacterium
Lineage: Bacteria
Description: bacterial SSU rRNA
Rfam family: Bacterial small subunit ribosomal RNA
Source: RNAcentral